Molecule: ribosomal RNA, 513 nt
Filed under: uncultured bacterium
Lineage: Bacteria
Description: partial 16S ribosomal RNA
Rfam family: Bacterial small subunit ribosomal RNA
Source: RNAcentral
GACGAUCGCUGGCGGCGUGCCUAAUACAUGCAAGUAGAACGCUGAAGAGAGGAGCUUGCUCUUCUUGGAAGAGUUGCGAACGGGUGAGUAACGCGUAGGUAACCUGCCUUGUAGCGGGGGAUAACUAUUGGAAACGAUAGCUAAUACCGCAUAACAAUGGAUGACCCAUGUCAUUUAUUUGAAAGGGGCAACUGCUCAACUACAAGAUGGACCUGCGUUGUAUUAGCUAGUAGGUGAGGUAACGGCUCACCUAGGCGACGAUACAUAGCCGACCUGAGAGGGUGAUCGGCCACACUGGGACUGAGACACGGCCAAGACUCCUACGGGAGGCAGCAGUAGGGAAUCUUCGGCAAUGGGGGCAACCCUGACCGAGCAACGCCGCGUGAGUGAAGAAGGUUUUCGGAUCGUAAAGCUCUGUUGUAAGUCAAGAACGAGUGUGAGAGUGGAAAGUUCACACUGUGACGGUAGCUUACCAGAAAGGGACGGCUAACUACGUGCCAGCCGCCGCCGUAA